GCGGAUGUGGCGGAAUGGCAGACGCAGCAGACUCAAAAUCUGCCGCUCGCGAGGGCGUAAGGGUUCGAGUCCCUUUAUCCGCA
Molecule: transfer RNA, 83 nt
Filed under: Anaerobium acetethylicum
Lineage: Bacteria; Bacillati; Bacillota; Clostridia; Lachnospirales; Lachnospiraceae
Rfam family: tRNA
About the family: Transfer RNA (tRNA) molecules are approximately 80 nucleotides in length.
Source: Rfam by way of RNAcentral